Long non-coding RNA from Oreochromis niloticus (Nile tilapia), 509 nucleotides. RefSeq lists it as uncharacterized. Lineage: Eukaryota; Metazoa; Chordata; Actinopteri; Cichliformes; Cichlidae. The transcript is spliced from 2 exons. The record is from RefSeq and is a predicted model, not a curated record.
AAUCACACUCACCUGCUGCUGACCAGCCUCACAGGGAGCUAUUUAACUGAAGGGCUGAGCUCCAGUUGAUGCAACAAGAAGCCAAAUAUUCGAGUGUGUGUUUACUGUGGAUGGCACUAACGCUGCCCCUGUGAUUUCCAGGAGUGUUGUAUAUAGACAUGGACACCGGGAGAGGAACACAAGGAGGGGAAGGAGCGCUACGAGAGGACGAGCUCCUCGGACACCGAGAGCUCCAGCAGCAGCAGACGUCGGUCAGCAGGUGGUCCGCGCUGCUCUCUGAUGGCGUGUUUGGUGGUUUCUGGGUGACGCUGGGAGCACUUCCUGUUGUUUGAACAGAGGCUAAAUAUUCCCGCUCCGAGAGCCGAGCAGAGAGGGACCGCAUGGAGCUGCUGCAGCCAUGAGCAUCUGGACUUCAACACCAACACGCUGACAGACAUCAUCGCCAUGGUUACGUCACCGUGUUUAAGAGUUCCCCUGUUUUCAGCUGCUGGUGAUGUCAAGUUCUGCUU